UACGGGGGGGGCAAGCGUUGUUCGGAAUUACUGGGCGUAAAGGGCUCGUAGGCGGCCAACUAAGUCCGACGUGAAAUCCCCAGGCUUAACCUGGGAACUGCGUCGGAUACUGGAUGGCUUGAAUUCGGGAGAGGGAUGCAGAAUUCCAGGUGUAGCGGUGAAAUGCGUAGAUAUCAGGAAGAACACCCGUGGCGAAGGCGGCUCUCUGGGACGGUACUGACGCUGAGACGCGAAAGCGUGGGGAGCGAACAGG
This 253-nucleotide ribosomal RNA is filed under the name uncultured bacterium. RNAcentral's name for it is "partial 16S ribosomal RNA". It matches the Rfam family "Bacterial small subunit ribosomal RNA", at positions 524 to 776 of the family's 1533-position model. The record is from RNAcentral.